GGGACUCUAAUUCUUUUGAAGAGCCGAACUCUCUUCGGCAUUCGAUGCCUCUGCCUUACCUUUUUCUCAACAAAAGGAAAGAGUGAGAGCCUCGUAUAGAUGACUCCGGUAGGCGAGGACUCAAUUGCUUGGGUGCAUCGAUCAAAGUUAUGAUCUAGGGGCGCUAAAAGCAGAGAUUCGGGCUUUUUCCAGUCUUAUUCCUACCCUCUCCGCUGGGAAAUCCCUCUGCGGCCAGACUAUAGCUUGGUCUUUGUACUAGUUCUGCUUUCACAUGCUCUUUAACUUGCCUUCCGCAGGUUUCGAAGGAUACGUGCCAUUUUCCUUCACUCGAAAGAAGAGUCAGUGCUCUCCCUUUCAUUUCCAAUGAAAGAAAAAAGAAAUGAACAUCCCGAAGUCGAGAAGGAUAGGCAGAUUAAAAAAGAAAAGGAAGAAAUGAUGAAUACACAAAUUUGAACCAUUAACUAUUGGCCGCUGACUGCGAAUUCAUGAACGAGCCUUGAAUUUGAAUCUCAAAUUGUGUUUUCCUAAUGACAUAAGAAAAAAAAUUGAUACAUAACUAAUCAGUGUUUAUUCAGUAUUUUUUCUUUUCAAUAAAAAAUCCUUCUCUAUUUGAAUUAUAACAAUAUAUGAGUAUAUGUAAACCCCAGAACAGAAAUUGUUACACAGAUAGGAUAUCUAAUUGGUUAUUUUAUUUAUAUAUGUUGCCUAUAGGGAAUUCUCAGGAAAUUUUCGUCCGUAGUAGGUAAACUUGAAGGGGAAAGAGACAUCACUUUGGGCUUUGUUGAUUUA
RNAcentral lists this long non-coding RNA (789 nucleotides) under Panax ginseng (ginseng). RNAcentral's name for it is "long non-coding RNA (PGIN_LNC008654)". Lineage: Eukaryota; Viridiplantae; Streptophyta; Magnoliopsida; Apiales; Araliaceae. The record is from RNAcentral.